GUCAUUAAAAGUCAGCCAAAAAUGUUUUGUUAUAUAUAUUAUAAUUUGGGUGCGCUUAUUUAUUUUGGCCAAUUGUGAGAAGUCACUGACGAGUUGUCCAUAUCAAAGAGGGGGGCGGAUUACGUUAGCCGUUCACCGUUCACCGUUCACUGUUCACCGUUAGGCGCCAGCACCUGUGUCGAGGAUAAGCAUCUAAUUUUCACUCUUACUUUCUCUCUCAGCUAGUUCCUGGAACUUGGCAACUGUUGUGGUACCUGCUGCACGUGCAAUUCCUGCUGCACUUGUUGUCUGAGCUCUACGGUUUCUUGGGAAAGCCGGAAAAACUGUUUGGACAAUAGAAAUUACGUGGGCUGCUGUUGCUGUUGCUGCUGGCCCCUUGAAGUCUCUAUUAGAGGCUGACUGAGUUAGUAGCCGGAAGCAAUGAAAAUGUGUGGAAAGUGUUGUUCCUGCCUCGAAUUUACAGCGAACAAGUGUUAAGGAUGUGCGUGACAGUCAUUAUGUGGGAUAUGAAGAUAACGUCACGUAGCAAACCUUAUGCUUGGGUUCCAAUAAGGACAUAUAUAGGAGAGAGAAUAAUACGACUGUAUUGUACAGUUAGAUGCGAACAAUGCCCACAAUUUGUCAGAUAAAGAUAACUCGAAGGUAGCCAUAAAAUAAAAAUUCUUGGAGAUUUGUAAUGCCUAAUCGUGUUUGUAGGCGGAAACUCCAUAUCAAUCAGGAUACAAAUUGAGGGAGAGUUUGCCAGAUAACACAUGGGAGAGUUUAAAAUCAAUCUCAAUAUUUCAGAUCUAAUAAUAAACAAAUUAGACGAACAUA
This is a long non-coding RNA of Drosophila mojavensis, 816 nucleotides long. RefSeq lists it as uncharacterized. NCBI's taxonomy places the organism in Eukaryota, Metazoa, Arthropoda, Insecta, Diptera, Drosophilidae. The record is from RefSeq and is a predicted model, not a curated record. The transcript has 2 exons.